CCUACGGGUGGCAGCAGUGGGGAAUAUUGCACAAUGGGGGAAACCCUGAUGCAGCGACGCCGCGUGAAGGAAGAAGUAUUUCGGUAUGUAAACUUCUAUCAGCAGGGAAGAAAAUGACGGUACCUGACUAAGAAGCCCCGGCUAACUACGUGCCAGCAGCCGCGGUAAUACGUAGGGGGCAAGCGUUAUCCGGAUUUACUGGGUGUAAAGGGAGCGUAGGCGGUUUAGCAAGUCAGAAGUGAAAGGCCGGGGCUUAACUCCGGGACUGCUUUUGAAACUGUUGAACUAGAGUGCAGGAGAGGUAAGUGGAAGUCCUAGUGUAGCGGUGAAAUGCGUAGAUAUUAGGAGGAACACCAGUGGCGAAGGCGGCUUACUGGACUGUAAAUGACGCUGAGGCUCGAAAGCGUGGGGAGCAAACAGGAUUAGAUACCCCUGUAGUC
This 440-nucleotide ribosomal RNA is filed under the name uncultured bacterium. RNAcentral describes it as "partial 16S ribosomal RNA". It matches the Rfam family "Bacterial small subunit ribosomal RNA", at positions 338 to 795 of the family's 1533-position model. The record is from RNAcentral.